RNAcentral lists this ribosomal RNA (259 nucleotides) under uncultured bacterium. RNAcentral describes it as "partial 16S ribosomal RNA". It matches the Rfam family "Bacterial small subunit ribosomal RNA", at positions 793 to 1055 of the family's 1533-position model. The record is from RNAcentral.
GUCCACGCCCUAAACGAUGAAUACUCGCUGUUAGCGAUACACAGUUAGCGGCUAAGCGAAAGCGUUAAGUAUUCCACCUGGGGGAGUACGGUCGCAAGAUUGAAACUCAAGGGAAUUGACGGGGGCCCGCACAAGCGGAGGAGCAUGUGGUUUAAUUCGAUGAUACGCGAGGAACCUUACCCGGGCUUGAAAGUUAGUGAAUGAUUUAGAGAUAGAUCAGUGAGCAAUCACACGAAACUAGGUGCUGCAUGGCUGUCGU